Lathyrus oleraceus (garden pea) is the source of this 2203-nucleotide RNA transcript. RefSeq lists it as uncharacterized. NCBI's taxonomy places the organism in Eukaryota, Viridiplantae, Streptophyta, Magnoliopsida, Fabales, Fabaceae. The transcript has 5 exons. The record is from RefSeq and is a predicted model, not a curated record.
UAUAUAACAUAAAUAACCCAUUUUCACAACCUUUAACCUCUCCAAAACGCACAGCACGACGAAGGAAUUUCACCAGAAUCCAGAACCGCACAACUCUCACCCAAACACCCGAAACCCCUUCUUCGCUCGUAAUGGCUCGACGGUUCACCGACAAACGCCUAGUUCAUCUCCUUAGAAUCUGACUACAUCUUUAUGGAUGAUAUAUUCAUUUGCAAGUUUGACACAAAUCGCAAUAUUGUUCACUAGCUGAAGAAUCAUCGUGUCGAGAAUAUGUCUACAAUUCUUUGGAGAGUAUACCGAGUGAUCAUCAAGAUCAAAAUGACUAGGCAGAGUGGUCAUGACAGAAGAAGCGCAAAACAAUUUUCCCGAAACCCACAUGAUUCUCGAGACGCGCCGAACAGGAGGAUUGGUUACAUAAAAAUUAGGAAGUGUUAUGAUGGUGUAUCGCGGAUGUGCUAAUUCUUUAUUUUGGCAAAGAUUCAUCUUGCUGUCCAUUUGAAGGAGGAAAUGGAGAUAUAGUGAAACCUGUGAAUCCAUGGUGAUUUCGACGACGGUGAUGGUGGUGACAGACGAGAGAUAUUGACCAACACCUCAUAGAUAUGAAAAAGAGUCAAUUGAUCACAUCUAACAAUUUGACGCAUGAUUUUUUGGGAAAAUGGUUGAAGUUAAAUCUACAAGAACAUCAAAUGCAAAUUGUUGAAGAGAAAAAUCUACAAGAACACCAAUUGCAAAUGGUUGAAGAGAAAAAUCUACAAAAACACCAAAUGCAAAUGAAUGAAGAGAAAAAGAAUCAAGAAAAUAAUGACAAAAUGAAAGAGAUUGAAAAAAACUUAAAUAUAGAUAUAGUUUUGUUUAAUGAAUGAUUUGUUGGUACAAGUUGCAUGGAAGUGAUUGAGUUUUUUUUACAAAUAGAUAUGACUUUAGUUUGAUGUAUGACUUGUAUGAGAUACAUGAAGAUGAUAUAAUUUGUUUGUUUUUGUUAGUUUUUUUGUUUAUCCAAUGUCUAGGAAUCUCUACAAAAUAUUGGUUAAACAAAUUUCUAAAAAUUAAUUUUUAAAAAUUGAUAUUUUUUACCUCCGUAGUAUCUAAAAUAGUGUAAACUCAUUUAAAUUUAAUAUAUGUAUGUGACCGUUUACACCCAUUUAAAUUUAAAUAGGAUGUAAAUAUCUUAAAAUUCAAUGUAAAUAUCUAGUAAUUUACACUUGUUUUUAUCUAAAAUAGGAUGUAAUAUACUCUCUUUUUACAUCCGUUAUAUCUAAAAUAGAGUGUAAAUUUGUUUAAAUUUAAUGUAUAUACGUGACAGUUUACAUCCAUUUUAUGUAAACUAGAGUGUGAUAUAUCCUAUUUUUACACCCGUUUUAAAGCCGGUGCAAAUUUGUCAUACAUAUCUCAACCGAUGAAUUUAGACUCGAUCAUAACGGGUAUCUUUAAAUGCACAAGUACCCUCACUCCCAACAUUGAGUCAAAAAUAAAUAAAUAAUGGUCUUUCAAAUGCAAUUUAAGGCAGGCACCAAGUAUCUUUACCGUAUUAGUUGACACAAUUAAAACGUGGGUAUAACUUCACUACCCCAUAAGUGAUCACUAUCAUUUUAUUUUUCCAAGAACUCAAAUACCAAUUGCACAAGAAUUGACAUUAAAAACGUUGUUAAAAUCCAUCGUCGUAUCAGAAUUGCUUGGAACUGUCAACAGAAACAUUUUUAUCAGCAUUGCUUGGAACUGUCAACAGAAACAUUUUUAUCAGCGUUUUAAAUUUCAAACUCCCAACUUCUUCAUAGCCAACUUCUCUCUUCCAUGGCUAAUGACAAAACAGAUGAGCCAGUGUUGUUGAAGCUUCUCGUAGACACAGAAACAGACAAAGUUGUAUUUGCUGAAGCAGGAAAAGACUUUGUUGAUGUUCUAUGUAGCUUCUUAACAUUACCAUUAGGAACCAUUGCAAGACUUAUUCAGAAGGAUUCAAACAUGGGACCUGUCAAAGUUGGCUGUCUUAACUCACUCUAUCAAAGUGUGGCCGAUCUUAGCAAAAGAUAUUUCUUAACAAAGACACAUAAAAAAAUGUUAUUGCAACCAAUAAACUCUUCAGAAGAUUAUUGCAACUCUCUCACACUUAACAUUGAUGAUACUCCUCCGGCUACGUACUUCUUAUGUACUAUAGUUGAUGAUAACUGCUGCGGUAAUGGUUUAUAUACUUCCUCUGAUAAUAAUU